RNAcentral lists this ribosomal RNA (487 nucleotides) under Selenomonas sputigena. Its description in RNAcentral is "bacterial SSU rRNA". It matches the Rfam family "Bacterial small subunit ribosomal RNA", at positions 28 to 496 of the family's 1533-position model. The record is from RNAcentral. Lineage: Bacteria; Bacillati; Bacillota; Negativicutes; Selenomonadales; Selenomonadaceae.
GACGAACGCUGCGGCGUGCUUAACACAUGCAAGUCGAACGGGAACCUUUAUUUCGGUAAAGGUGAGAGUGGCAAACGGGUGAGUAACACGUAGGCAACCUGCCGACAGGAUGGGGACAACAUUCCGAAAGGAAUGCUAAUACCGAAUGGAGUACGGGGAUGGCAUCAUCUCCGGAUAAAAGAUGGCCUCUGAAUAUGCUAUCGCCUGUCGAUGGGCCUGCGUCUGAUUAGCCAGUUGGCGGGGUACGGCCCACCAAAGCGACGAUCAGUAGCCGGUCUGAGAGGAUGAACGGCCACAUUGGGACUGAGACCGGCCCAGACUCCUACGGGAGGCAGCAGUGGGGAAUCUUCCACAAUGGGCGAAAGCCUGAUGGAGCAACGCCGCGUGAGUGAAGAAGGUCUUCGGAUCGUAAAGCUCUGUUGCACGGGACGAAACCGAGCUUGAGAAUAUUGAGUUUGGGUGACGGUACCGAGCGAGGAAGCCCCGG